This 466-nucleotide ribosomal RNA is filed under the name uncultured bacterium. RNAcentral's name for it is "partial 16S ribosomal RNA". It matches the Rfam family "Bacterial small subunit ribosomal RNA", at positions 331 to 792 of the family's 1533-position model. The record is from RNAcentral.
CCAGACUCCUACGGGAGGCAGCAGUGAGGAAUAUUGGUCAAUGGACGCAAGUCUGAACCAGCCAAGUAGCGUGCAGGAUGACGGCCCUCCGGGUUGUAAACUGCUUUUAGUUGGGAAUAAAAGGGGGCUCGUGAGCCCCGUAUUGUAUGUACCAUCAGAAAAAGGACCGGCUAAUUCCGUGCCAGCAGCCGCGGUAAUACGGAAGGUCCGGGCGUUAUCCGGAUUUAUUGGGUUUAAAGGGUGCGUAGGUUGUUGUAUAAGUUAGCGGUGAAAUACCGAUGCUCAACAUCGGGGCUUCCGCUAAUACUGUAGGACUAGAGAUCGGAUGCAGCAGGCGGAAUGUGUAGUGUAGCGGUGAAAUGCAUAGAUAUCACGCAGAACUCCGAUUGCGAAGGCAGCGCACCGGCGCCCUACUGACGCUCAGGCACGAAAGCGUGGGUAUCGAACAGGAUUAGAUACCCGAGUA